CACCGCCCGUCACAUCACGAAAGUGGGUUGUACUAGAAGUCUGCGUGCUAACCGCAAGGGGGCAGCGGCCCAAGGUAUGACUCAUGAUUGGGGUG
This 95-nucleotide ribosomal RNA is filed under the name uncultured bacterium. RNAcentral's name for it is "partial 16S ribosomal RNA". It matches the Rfam family "Bacterial small subunit ribosomal RNA", at positions 1388 to 1482 of the family's 1533-position model. The record is from RNAcentral.